Molecule: ribosomal RNA, 475 nt
Filed under: uncultured organism
Description: partial 16S ribosomal RNA
Rfam family: Bacterial small subunit ribosomal RNA
Source: RNAcentral
UACACUCUGCGGGAGGCAGCAGUGGGGAAUUUUGGACAAUGGGCGAAAGCCUGAUCCAGCAAUGCCGCGUGAGUGAAGAAGGCCUUCGGGUUGUAAAGCUCUUUUGUCAGGGAAGAAACGGUGAAAGCUAAUAUCUUUUGCUAAUGACGGUACCUGAAGAAUAAGCACCGGCUAACUACGUGCCAGCAGCCGCGGUAAUACGUAGGGUGCAAGCGUUAAUCGGAAUUACUGGGCGUAAAGCGUGCGCAGGCGGUUUUGUAAGUCUGAUGUGAAAUCCCCGGGCUCAACCUGGGAAUUGCAUUGGAGACUGCAAGGCUAGAAUCUGGCAGAGGGGGGUAGAAUUCCACGUGUAGCAGUGAAAUGCGUAGAUAUGUGGAGGAACACCGAUGGCGAAGGCAGCCCCCUGGGUCAAGAUUGACGCUCAUGCACGAAAGCGUGGGGAGCAAACAGGAUUAGAUACCCGAGUAGUCCCAUG